AGAUUGAACGCUGGCGGCAGGCCUAACACAUGCAAGUCGAGCGGUAGAGAGGUGCUUGCAUCUCUUGAGAGCGGCGGACGGGUGAGUAAUGCCUAGGAAUCUGCCUAGUGGUGGGGGAUAACGUUCGGGAACGGACGCUAAUACCGCAUACGUCCUACGGGAGAAAGCGGGGGACCUUCGGGCCUCGCGCCAUUAGAUGAGCCUAGGUCGGAUUAGCUAGUUGGUGAGGUAAUGGCUCACCAAGGCGACGAUCCGUAACUGGUCUGAGAGGAUGAUCAGUCACACUGGAACUGAGACACGGUCCAGACUCCCACGGAGGCAGCAGUGGGAAUAUUGGACAAUGGGCGAAAGCC
This 353-nucleotide ribosomal RNA is filed under the name uncultured soil bacterium. RNAcentral's name for it is "bacterial SSU rRNA". It matches the Rfam family "Bacterial small subunit ribosomal RNA", at positions 26 to 383 of the family's 1533-position model. The record is from RNAcentral.